CUGCCCCUGCGGUGUUCGCCAAAGACUGUAUAUUCUUUGAACCAAUGCCUUUGUGCUUGGCUGCCGACUUCUGAGACCGGUGUGCGAUGUUCUUCGUGAAUAUCUCUAAAAGUCUCGUCACGCAGCCCUCUUGAACUUCGGUUCAAGAUGAGGUCUUAGCGACACAGGCGGGGGCAUU
RNAcentral lists this non-coding RNA (178 nucleotides) under Burkholderiales bacterium. RNAcentral describes it as "6S RNA". It matches the Rfam family "6S / SsrS RNA". Rfam says of the family: E. coli 6S RNA was the first non coding RNA to be sequenced, but its function was unknown until recently. It consists of 184 nucleotides that fold into an extended hairpin structure with a large single-stranded internal bulge. The record is from RNAcentral. Lineage: Bacteria; Pseudomonadati; Pseudomonadota; Betaproteobacteria; Burkholderiales.